AAUUACGGAUAUCUCCCCGCUCUGCACUUCGGAACUAAAUUCAAGUUCAAACAAAAAUUCAUCUGAGGUUAAAGACACGUGCUGAUGAUAAGAGGAAGUUUAGGGAUAGAGAUGAGAAUUUUGAGUUGAAAUAAAGAGUGCUUCUAUACGGCCGCCUACACAGCACACCUUAUGUGUAAUUUCUUUUUUUUUUUUUAUUUUAACAUGCGUUUUGUUUUACUUUUGCUGUUAUUUCAGCCUCCUACCAUUUGAAAUGUUCUCUGGCCCCGCCAUUCGAAUUUCGAAAUCUUUUCCAGCCCCCUCCCUUCCGACACGCACCAAUAGCCUUCACGUGUGCUGCACCGUGCCGACGUACUCCCCCAUGUUCUCUCGGUGACGACGAUCUGUUCGCAGCAUUCACUUUUUACAGAUCGACCAAGAUCUGCCUCAGAUUGUGUAGCUGAGCUUUCUGUCUCUCAAAGGUGUUUGUGAAAUGGAAACUGUGAUGGAGUGAGAGAGGGAGAAAGAAAGCAUGCAUACUGAUUUGGUGCAAUCUUACAGCAUCGUGUGACUAGACAGGUGACAACUGAUUUUUUGGCAGCAUCGUGAGACUGGACUUGAGAAUUAUUUUUUGGCAGCUUGUAUACAUGCUGCUUUCCAGACAUGUUGUGCAGAAUUUUCUGGGGAUAUAAAUAUCAGCAGCUUGUGUGGAGAAACAUGGCUAGAUUGUGUAUAUGCUGUUUGUGGGCAGUUAUGUGUACCAUCCAUGUACAUAAAUGUUGUGGAUUGUGUCCAAGUAUAUGUGUAUAGAUGGUUUUGUGUCCAGUUGUGUAAGCACUUAGUGAAUAUUUUCGAUUGUGGAGACCUUUAACAAUGUUGAUGUAUAGAUUUUGAUUCCUUUAACAAUGCUUACGUAUAGAUUUUGAUUCCAAAUCUUACUUAUCAAAAAAAGAUUUUGAUUCCAAAUCAGGAAUUUGGAGUAUUUGUUGUAAAGCUUACCAUGUGUAUUUGCAUAUGAAAUCAAUCAUGGUUCAAUGUCAA
Molecule: long non-coding RNA, 1020 nt
Organism: Carya illinoinensis
Lineage: Eukaryota; Viridiplantae; Streptophyta; Magnoliopsida; Fagales; Juglandaceae
Exons: 3
Source: RefSeq, a predicted model, not a curated record